Molecule: ribosomal RNA, 253 nt
Filed under: uncultured bacterium
Lineage: Bacteria
Description: partial 16S ribosomal RNA
Rfam family: Bacterial small subunit ribosomal RNA
Source: RNAcentral
GACGAACCGUGCGAACGUUGUUCGGAUUCACUGGGCUUAAAGGGCGCGUAGGCGGGGGUUCAAGUCGGUGGUGAAAUCUUUCGGCCCAACCGGAAGACCGCCUCCGAUACUGGACCCCUCGAGGGGGGUAGGGGCAUGCGGAACUUCGGGUGGAGCGGUGAAAUGCGUAGAUAUCCGAAGGAACGCCGGUGGCGAAAGCGGCGUGCUGGACCCUCUCUGACGCUGAGGCGCGAAAGCCAGGGGAGCGAACGGG